RNAcentral lists this unclassified non-coding RNA (1762 nucleotides) under Hevea brasiliensis (rubber tree). The record is from RNAcentral. Lineage: Eukaryota; Viridiplantae; Streptophyta; Magnoliopsida; Malpighiales; Euphorbiaceae.
AAAAAAAAAAUGAAGUUUCUGAUGCAAGUCUGGAAUAUCAAGUGGAAAAACACCAAGUUCAAGCAAAUGAUCCCAUUCUUGAAACUUGCGAUAAUGCAUCUUCGAACUGCUCAUCGUCGAGCUUCUCAGAGUUCAAGCUUGGGGGGAUGAAGGAUCUGAAGAGUUGUUCCAUGUUAGGAACUUCCUUCAGCUCACGGCAAGCAACUUCAAGAGGUGUGUUACAAAAAGAGCGGUAGAAUUUCUUCGAACAAACAUAGACGAAGAUCAAGGAAAUUAUGGGAAGCGGAAUCAGCAUUGGAGUAUAAUAGAAUUCCUUCACCCCAAAGUAACCAAACAUUGUGACUUGGAACAAUAACAGAGAAGCAAGGAUUCGUGUAUGCAUAUGGGGCCACAUCCUUCCAUAGCUCUCAAAGGAUGGAACAAAGACUUUAAGUGCCUGAUUUCGUAAAACAAGCCAUCCCAGGCCAAAGUACACAACUCCAAAUGGGAUAAUCAGAGGAGCUAUGACAGAGUAGCAGAGGACAAUUGUGAUGAUAAGCAUGUCACCAGGAACUCUGGUUGCAUAUCCAAAAUCUCCAGGAGCCCAAGCCUCUUUCAACUCAGUUUCAGUCUUGCAAAGGUACUUCCUUUUCAGAUGAUAAAUGAUUAGAGGAACCACACGUGAAAGCUCAAGUCCAUAUCCAACAAAGAACUUCAGGGCCACAAAGGUAAGAAAGAAAGUUGCAUUGCCAGGGAGGCCGUUUCCUAGCAAUUUAACUAUAGAAUCUGGAUUCUUCUGAAUGCUCUUGAAUGUACUGAACAAGGUUCCACCGAUUGUAACUCCAAUAAAAACAUUCAAAACAGUGAAAUAAAAGUACUUUCCAGACGUAGCCCUUACUGCAUGGCUCUGUGAAGGAAUUCCCUCUGCCUUGGAGAGAAACAAAAGCAACUUGGGCAACAAUGCCAAAAAGACGAUGAGUGCAAUCUGAGGAAGGUAGGCUUCCAACACUGUCUUGAUUGCAACAAUGUUCACAACUGGCUUUAGGAAUGGGAGAAUUUUCUUCAGAUUGUCCAAAGUUGUUAAUGCAGAAAUAAACCCAAUUGGUAUCAUGUAAAACAAUAUGGUCAGAGCCACAAUAAUGUAUACCACGUACUGUCGUAUUUGCCUCUUGAAAAACUUAAUUUUAAGAUUAGUCCAUAAAAGUUGACGAGGCUCAGGAGCUUCCAUGGCAGCAUGUGUCAACCAUUUGGUCAUGCAGACUCUGAGAUGCAGAAGCAGCUGUCACCCUACUGGUGAAAAAGACCAAAGCAGAAGGCUGCUGCUUGUCUCGUAAUGUAACUUUUUGUGCAGCUUCCAAUUUUGUGACUAGUUCCUUAAUCUUCUCAUUGAAGUACUCUAUGCUAUCUACUUUCUUACCAAUGAGACCAAGGAAGCCAGUUUUGGUGGUAGGUCUUGACCCUUCUGGUUUGCCUGAUUCCUUGGACUCGGCAUAUAUGGCUUCUGCAUGUGCAAGCUUUUUCUUGUACCCUUCCAACUCUUCAUAAAUUUUGUUAACCUCUUUAUUGUUUGUAACCACCAUCGAUCUGUAAAAUGUCUCAGGGUAGAUGGAUUUAAAAUAUGAAUCCACCAGUUCCUUUAUAGUUUGGCCCUCAGGAGGAGGAGGUAUGUCCCUAACAAGAACAGCGAAUUGCUCUGCUUUUACUUCUGGAGACAUUAAAGCCUUAGCUCUCAGCCCAGAAACAUGUAUGUAUGCUUUCCAUAACAUGUAAUAGGUGACAAAAG